This 301-nucleotide ribosomal RNA is filed under the name uncultured bacterium. RNAcentral describes it as "partial 16S ribosomal RNA". It matches the Rfam family "Bacterial small subunit ribosomal RNA", at positions 509 to 807 of the family's 1533-position model. The record is from RNAcentral.
CAGUAGCCGCGGGAAUACAGAGGGUGCGAGCGUUAAUCGGAUUUACUGGGCGUAAAGCGUGCGUAGGCGGCUAAUUGAGUCGGAUGUGAAAUCCCCGAGCUUAACUUGGGAAUUGCAUUCGAUACUGGUUAGCUAGAGUGUGGGAGAGGAUGGUAGAAUUCCAGGUGUAGCGGUGAAAUGCGUAGAGAUCUGGAGGAAUACCGAUGGCGAAGGCAGCCAUCUGGCCUAACACUGACGCUGAGGUACGAAAGCAUGGGGAGCAAACAGGAUUAGAUACCCCUGUAGUCCCUGUCUCUUAUAC